UUGAUUAACAUUCUGGUUUAAAUUGUGUGUUGUCAUGUCUUUCUAUUUAAUUGCCUUGCUUAAGUAUGUUGUAUGUUAUGAAUGAUUAAAAAACUAACCGAAUGUAUUUUAAUUGAUUCAGAUAUCAGAGGUUCUUUGUGAACUAGAGUUCACCAUAAAGAGAAUGAAUAUCUCUACUACACCAGAUGGCAUAGUGAUGGAUCUCUUUUCAAUCAAGUGUACAUGGUUAUAGAAUUUUACAGAUGAAGUUUUAUAAUGAACUAGUGUGCCAUCAUGAUAGUUUUCCUUUAUAUCUUGUAAUGUAAAACCAUUUUUUCUUAGCUCAAGAAAUGUGCUUUUAAACUAACUGACCUGCACAAUCUUAUAUACUAAAGGAACUUCUACAUACAAAGAAGAGAAGGGAAAACAAAGUAAGGAUCAUAUUAAUUAUUAGAAGUUACUUACUUUGUUUAUCAUGUCACAAUGACAGGUAUUUCCUAGUGCUUAAAAGGAAUUUGUGGAUUCAAUCAUUUUACAAGUAUGAACUCUCUCUUUUGUGGUCUUGCACUUUUGCUUAAGAUACCAAAUAUUUCUUCCAAUUAUAGUAUAUAAUCAUUGGUCUGAGCUAGAUACCUUUAUAUGCUUUGUUUGAAUGAGCUUGUAUAUUUUCCCUUUCAACUUCGAGUAGCAUAAUGUAACCAUAGUAACAAAAGAGAAGCAAUUGUUAAUGAGAAUCGGAAAUACAAUGUCAGUGUUCACUUUGCAGCUGCAAGGGAGGGAAUUUUAAUUUCAGGUGACAUACCUUGAAAUUCAUUUGUUAAC
This 801-nucleotide long non-coding RNA is filed under the name Trifolium pratense (red clover). RNAcentral describes it as "long non-coding RNA (TPRA_LNC008901)". The record is from RNAcentral. Lineage: Eukaryota; Viridiplantae; Streptophyta; Magnoliopsida; Fabales; Fabaceae.